This 539-nucleotide long non-coding RNA is filed under the name Manihot esculenta (cassava). RNAcentral describes it as "long non-coding RNA (MESC_LNC003951)". Lineage: Eukaryota; Viridiplantae; Streptophyta; Magnoliopsida; Malpighiales; Euphorbiaceae. The record is from RNAcentral.
UAGAAACACCAUUAACAAAUCAUACCAACAAUGAGCAAUCACAAAUAUGAAAUUACAGAUUAAAAAAUUAAAAUAAAGUUACAAGUUCUAAAACUAUUACAAAGCAAGUAAUACAUGUCUAAUAUCUUCAUUGCAAACCCAACAAAACAUCAAUAAAUUUGAUACAAAUCAAAAAUAGCAAACCCAAAAAAAUUAACAACUCGACAACUUUAUUAUAAAUCUAGAAAUUACAUGCCCAAUUUCAACUCAAAUCCACAAAUCUCAACUCAUAGAUGAAGAGGAAGGAAGAACCAUAGGACUAGUUCUGAAAGCAAAAGAGACGAAGGAGAAGGUGCACACGAAAGCCACAAGGCCCACAACAACGAUGAAAGUAAGAAGAAGGCUAUCAAGCACGUGGCUAGAUUCCUUUUGCUUUGCAACUCACGAUGAAGAUGCGAUGGGCAAGAAUGAGAAUGAUGGCAAGAGGGAGACUGAAGGUGAGAAAGCGAUAGCGAGAGAGAGACUGAAGGUAAGGGUUUUUUCAGUUUAUGCUAUGAUUU